UACGGAAGGCAGCAGUGGGGAAUAUUGCACAAUGGGCGCAAGCCUGAUGCAGCCAUGCCGCGUGUAUGAAGAAGGCCUUCGGGUUGUAAAGUACUUUCAGUCGUGAGGAAGGUGUUAAGGUUAAUAACCUUAGCAAUUGACGUUAGCGACAGAAGAAGCACCGGCUAACUCCGUGCCAGCAGCCGCGGUAAUACGGAGGGUGCGAGCGUUAAUCGGAAUUACUGGGCGUAAAGGGCACGCAGGCGGUUAAUUAAGUUGGAUGUGAAAUCCCCGGGCUUAACCUGGGAAUGGCAUUCAAGACUGGUUAGCUAGAGUCUUGUAGAGGGGGUAGAAUUCCAUGUGUAGCGGUGAAAUGCGUAGAGAUGUGGAGGAAUACCGGUGGCGAAGGCGGCCCCUGGGACAAAGACUGACGCUCGAUGUGCGAAAGCGUGGGGAGCAAACAGGAUUAGAUACC
RNAcentral lists this ribosomal RNA (454 nucleotides) under uncultured bacterium. RNAcentral describes it as "bacterial SSU rRNA". It matches the Rfam family "Bacterial small subunit ribosomal RNA", at positions 340 to 786 of the family's 1533-position model. The record is from RNAcentral.